AUUGAUACCUGGCAGGGGAGACACCAUGAUCACAAAGGUGGUUUUCUCAGGGUGAGGCCCAUCCAUUGCAUUCUGGGUGUGCUGGCCCUUGCGAUUUCCCCAAAUACAGGAAACUCGACUGCAUAAUGUGUGGUAGUGAGAGACUGAGUUUAUGCUUUCCCCUGA
This 165-nucleotide small nuclear RNA is filed under the name Theropithecus gelada (gelada). RNAcentral's name for it is "U1 spliceosomal RNA (ENSTGEG00000006707.1)". It matches the Rfam family "U1 spliceosomal RNA". From Rfam's summary of the family: U1 is a small nuclear RNA (snRNA) component of the spliceosome (involved in pre-mRNA splicing). Its 5' end forms complementary base pairs with the 5' splice junction, thus defining the 5' donor site of an intron. There are significant differences in sequence and secondary structure between metazoan and yeast U1 snRNAs, the latter being much longer (568 nucleotides as compared to 164 nucleotides in human). Lineage: Eukaryota; Metazoa; Chordata; Mammalia; Primates; Cercopithecidae. The record is from RNAcentral.